This 471-nucleotide ribosomal RNA is filed under the name uncultured bacterium. RNAcentral describes it as "bacterial SSU rRNA". It matches the Rfam family "Bacterial small subunit ribosomal RNA", at positions 30 to 520 of the family's 1533-position model. The record is from RNAcentral.
AUUGAACGCUGGCGGCAUGCCUUACACAUGCAAGUCGAACGGCAGCACGGGAGCAAUCCUGGUGGCGAGUGGCGAACGGGUGAGUAAUAUAUCGGAACGUGCCCAGUCGUGGGGAUAACGUAGCGAAAGCUACGCUAAUACCGCAUACGAUCUAUGGAUGAAAGCGGGGGAUCGCAAGACCUCGCGCGAUUGGAGCGGCCGAUAUCAGAUUAGGUAGUUGGUGAGGUAAAGGCUCACCAAGCCGACGAUCUGUAGCUGGUCUGAGAGGACGACCAGCCACACUGGGACUGAGACACGGCCCAGACUCCUACGGGAGGCAGCAGUGGGGAAUAUUGGACAAUGGGCGAAAGCCUGAUCCAGCAAUGCCGCGUGAGUGAUGAAGGCCUUAGGGUUGUAAAGCUCUUUUACCAGGGAUGAUAAUGACAGUACCUGGAGAAUAAGCUCCGGCUAACUCCGUGCCAGCAGCCGCGG